This 253-nucleotide ribosomal RNA is filed under the name uncultured bacterium. RNAcentral describes it as "partial 16S ribosomal RNA". It matches the Rfam family "Bacterial small subunit ribosomal RNA", at positions 524 to 776 of the family's 1533-position model. The record is from RNAcentral.
UACAGAGGGUGCGAGCGUUGUCCGGAAUCACUGGGCGUAAAGGGCGCGUAGGUGGCGCUCCAAGUCCGUUGUGAAAGUCAAAGGCUCAACCUUUGAAAGCCGAUGGAUACUGCGGAGCUAGAGUACGGAAGAGGCGAGUGGAAUUCCUGGUGUAGCGGUGGAAUGCGCAGAUAUCAGGAGGAACACCAAUAGCGAAGGCAGCUCGCUGGGACGUUACUGACACUGAGGCGCGAAAGCGUGGGGAGCGAACAGG